RNAcentral lists this ribosomal RNA (253 nucleotides) under uncultured bacterium. Its description in RNAcentral is "partial 16S ribosomal RNA". It matches the Rfam family "Bacterial small subunit ribosomal RNA", at positions 524 to 776 of the family's 1533-position model. The record is from RNAcentral.
UACGUAGGGUGCGAGCGUUACUCGGAAUUACUGGGCGUAAAGCGUGCGCAGGCGGUGCUGUAAGACCGAUGUGAAAUCCCCGGGCUUAACCUGGGAACUGCAUUGGUGACUGCAGCGCUGGAGUAUGGCAGAGGGGGGUGGAAUUCCACGUGUAGCAGUGAAAUGCGUAGAGAUGUGGAGGAACACCGAUGGCGAAGGCAGCCCCCUGGGCCAAUACUGACGCUCAUGCACGAAAGCGUGGGGAGCAAACAGG